RNAcentral lists this ribosomal RNA (251 nucleotides) under uncultured bacterium. RNAcentral's name for it is "partial 16S ribosomal RNA". It matches the Rfam family "Bacterial small subunit ribosomal RNA", at positions 524 to 776 of the family's 1533-position model. The record is from RNAcentral.
UACAGGGGGGCAAGCGUUGUUCGGAAUUACUGGGCGUAAAGGGUUCGUAGGUGGCCAACUAAGUCAGACGUGAAAUCCCUCAGCUUAACUGGGGAACUGCGUCUGAUACUGGAUGGCUUGAGUGUAGGAGAGGAAUGCGGAAUUCCAGGUGUAGCGGUGAAAUGCGUAGAUAUCUGGAGGAACACCGGUGGCGAAGGCGGCAUUCUGGACUACAACUGACACUGAGGAACGAAAGCCAGGGAGCAAACGGG